AAUGGUUCUGCCUUCAUGAAUGGGUUAUGUCAUGGGAGUGGGUUGGUUGUGGCAAGAGCAGGUUUGCUGUCAGCGCAGCCUCCUCUUGCCACUGUCUCCUCAUGCUUGCUCACUUGCCCUUCCGGCCCAUUAUUACACAGCAAGGAGGCUCUCACCAGAUGCUGAACAGAUGCCAGUGCCAUGCUCUUGGACUUCCUGCCCUCUAGGAUUGUGAGCCAAGGGCCAGCUAGACAAACGCACCAAGACCACACACAGAUUCUAAGACAACAGGAGCAUGUGUGAAGGCACGAAUAGCCAGGAGGGCAGAGCUCUAGUGCCUCCAGCACCAAGGCUUGGGAGUUACAGGUGCCCAAAUGUAAAAGCUUGGGGGUCACUCUUUACUCUUCUGUGCUUCACGCUUCAUGUCCAGUCCAUUGGUGGAUUCUGUCUGCUCAGCCUUCAAGAGGUAUCUGGGACCCAUGGCACCACCCUUCCCACAUCACCACUCCACCAGCCCACCAGCUCCUGCUCCUGAGUUAGGGAUGACCCCUAACCAGCCUCCUGUUUCCAUGAAGACCUUUAACCAUCUAUGCUCAACCCAGAAGCCUGGAUGGGCCUGUGAUCUACUGGGUCAGGUCCCAGCCCCUCCAUCACUCCACCCUCCAGUGAGUUCCCAUCCUACCCAGAGCAAAAUCUGUUCAUGUUGGAGACUUAAAUUUGUUCAUUAUGUUUUUUGUUGUUGUGUUGUUUUUAGAUCCCUGCUGUAUUUUGGUGAGAAAUGACAAUGCCUUAAAUAGUGGCAGGAAUUGAGAGGGGGAGACAGACAAAAGAGAUGAAACAGAGAAA
RNAcentral lists this long non-coding RNA (825 nucleotides) under Heterocephalus glaber (naked mole-rat). RNAcentral describes it as "lncRNA (ENSHGLG00000030163.2)". Lineage: Eukaryota; Metazoa; Chordata; Mammalia; Rodentia; Bathyergidae. The record is from RNAcentral.